UCUUUUGUAGGUUAUAUAAAUUAAACCUCCGAUUUGUGGUGUCGGCAAAUCCUUUUAGGACGAAAGA
Molecule: transfer RNA, 67 nt
Filed under: Echinostomatidae sp. MSB para 30070
Lineage: Eukaryota; Metazoa; Platyhelminthes; Trematoda; Plagiorchiida; Echinostomatidae
Description: tRNA-His
Source: RNAcentral